GUGCUGGUGGAAGGGCCCAGAAAUCUGACUGGCUUGGGACCAGUCUUACAAUUCACACCUUCGUCUUCCUCUUCGUUGAACGCCAUCAGUCUCCUGUGAAUACAGAAGCAUGUUACGGUCAGCAUUUACAGGAAAUAUCCAGAACAGGCAAAUGCAUUGAGACAGAAAACAGAUUGGUGGUUGCCAGAGGCUGAAGACAGAAGAGACCAGGGAGUAACUGCUUACAGAUGGAUGAAUUGAUGGAAGGAUAAAUAUAUUUUAGCAGUUUUCUUCACAAAAGACAUCACCAAAGUAUUUCUUGAUAGAGUCCCUAGAGCAGUGCUCUCUGCACCUACGACAUCUGAGAUAAAUAUGUGUUGGCUGACAUAGUGAAUGUGCACAUGCUGUGUCCUUUUUGCAUAUAAAACAGAAAUAAAAGACUAUAGAGUUGAGACUUCAGAAGAGGAAUGUUAACCCACCCCAACUUUCCAGUCAGGUGUUUUAGCCCCAUUCUGCAGACGUGGCAAACAGCACCAAAUAACUGACGACUCAUUUCUAAAUAACUUCCCUUGGCAGAACUCAUACAACCGUGCAAAUUCCUGAAGGGGAUCUGGGACCAAAUCAACUUUC
Ailuropoda melanoleuca (giant panda) is the source of this 609-nucleotide long non-coding RNA. RefSeq lists it as uncharacterized. Lineage: Eukaryota; Metazoa; Chordata; Mammalia; Carnivora; Ursidae. The record is from RefSeq and is a predicted model, not a curated record. The transcript is spliced from 4 exons.